RNAcentral lists this ribosomal RNA (164 nucleotides) under uncultured bacterium. RNAcentral's name for it is "partial 16S rRNA". It matches the Rfam family "Bacterial small subunit ribosomal RNA", at positions 355 to 511 of the family's 1533-position model. The record is from RNAcentral.
UAGGGAAUCUUCCACAAUGGACGAAAGUCUGAUGGAGCAACGCCGCGUGUGUGAUGAAGGGUUUCGGCUCGUAAAACACUGCUGUAAGAGAAGAAUGACAUUGAGAGUAACUGUUCAAUGUGUGACGGUAUCUUACCAGAAAGGAACGGCUAAAUACGUGCCAG